This 468-nucleotide ribosomal RNA is filed under the name uncultured fungus. RNAcentral describes it as "eukaryotic LSU rRNA". The stretch from base 24 to 177 matches the Rfam family "5.8S ribosomal RNA". The record is from RNAcentral. Lineage: Eukaryota; Fungi.
UAAAACCAAAUUAAUUGAAAUAUAACUUUUAACAAUGGAUCUCUAGGCUCUCACAUCGAUGAAGAACACAGUGAAAUGUGAUAAGUAAUGUGAAUUGCAGAAUUCAGUGAAUCAUUGAAUCUUUGAACGCAUCUUGCGCUUUUUGGUAUUCCAAAAGGCACACCUGUUUGAGUGUCAUGAAAAUUUCCUCAUUAAACAUUUUUUAUUAAAUGUCUUAAUGGAUGUUGAGUGUUGCUGUCAUUGGCUCACUUUAAAUAAAUAAGUCAAGUGUUGAAUGAAAUAUGGAUUGACUUGGUGUAAUAAUUACCAAAAAGCAUCAAGGAAAGUAGCAAUACUGCCAUUUUUGUUGUAAACAAAGACUCCUAAACCAUCUGGGGUGUACAUUGUACGGACCCAAACCAUUAUUUUUUAAGACCUCAAAUUAGGUGGGACUACCCGCUGAACUUAAGCAUAUCAAUAAGCGGAGGA